UACGGAGGGAGCUAGCGUUGUUCGGAAUUACUGGGCGUAAAGCGCGCGUAGGCGGCUUUGUAAGUUAGAGGUGAAAGCCCGGGGCUCAACCCCGGAACUGCCUUUAAAACUGCAUCGCUUGAAUCCGGGAGAGGUGAGUGGAAUUCCGAGUGUAGAGGUGAAAUUCGUAGAUAUUCGGAAGAACACCAGUGGCGAAGGCGGCUCACUGGACCGGCAUUGACGCUGAUGUGCGAAAGCGUGGGGAGCGAACAGG
Molecule: ribosomal RNA, 253 nt
Filed under: uncultured bacterium
Lineage: Bacteria
Description: partial 16S ribosomal RNA
Rfam family: Bacterial small subunit ribosomal RNA
Source: RNAcentral